Long non-coding RNA from Lutra lutra (Eurasian river otter), 3549 nucleotides. RefSeq lists it as uncharacterized. The record is from RefSeq and is a predicted model, not a curated record. Lineage: Eukaryota; Metazoa; Chordata; Mammalia; Carnivora; Mustelidae. The transcript is spliced from 3 exons.
AUCAAUAGAACCAUAGAGUUGGUUCAUACAUACUCUCCUGCAGGCUAAUCCCACAAAUCCCUCUCUGCUAUGUGCACGAGUUGCUGGUUGCCCUUCUUACCAAUCUUUCCAUCUCCUCAAGGUAUCUUUUCCCUCUAUAGUGCAUCUGUCCUCAUUGCAUUUAAUUCUAACCACUUCCAUUUGAACAGGACAUGUUAAAUUGUUAGCCAAUAAUAAGUGGUAAUUAUUGAAGAUGCCUUUGGACUUAAUGAACACUCUCCUUAUGAUCUCUAUUACGGAUGAUGAAGAAGGGAAGGGGUAGACAGCUGCAAGACAGACUUUGAGUGCCAGGUCCAGACUACACAGUGUUACAGUGUACAUGGUGAGGAGGGACGAGGGAGGGACAGAUGUCACAAUGACUAUGAGGUUUCUGGCUUACAGAUUUGAAUUGAAAUAGCAUGUGAUACCGAAUGCUGGUAUAAACACAUGAACACACGGUUUUAAUUGAGUAUAUUUAUCUCUCAGAAGGAAUUUACAGAAUUCUAUUAGAUCAUCUUGAUAUUUGCCUUUUAGCUUGUCUUUAAAUUGUAGAUUAAUGACUUCCAGUUGAAGGUCAGGUGAAAACUCUUCAAUUGCAAAGUAAAAUGCAUUUUGAAAAAUGCAACUUUCCCUUGCCCUUGCAUCGAGGCUUGAAAAGUGCUGUGGGACUAUAGUUUGAGCUCUGAAAAUAUAUCUGCUACAAAUUUCUGUGAAAAUGGGAGAUCUCACUUCUUGAUUUAACUUUGUAGCAAGAGUGGCUACAGCAGCUUGACAUUCCUUGUGAUUCAAACAUCAGUGUUCUCAAAAUUACUUUGUAGCAGUGUGAGUGUAAUACAUGGAUGCUGUUUGCUUGCAAUUUUAGAUUGAAUUUAUUAAGAAAUAUUAUCAAAUCUGCAGCAAAUAUGUAUUUCUGAAGCCAACUCGACAUAAAUCACAGUGGCUGAAGGUUAAACUUGGCCAUGAGGCUGUACAUUUCAGACCCCUGUUCUAAAGGCUACCAAAGGCAAUGGUUUGCAUUGUUCCACUAUAAAUAUUUAUUGUUUUUUAUUUGUCUUGAGCAAGAUGUAGAGAACCCUUAUAGUGGCCAUUCUUUCAUGAAUUUCUUGAACAAUCAUUUGCUGAGGGCUUACCAUGUUAUUUGGAGCCUACUAGGUGUCAGGGAACUAAAAACACGGUCGUACUGGAGACACGGGAGCCAGCAUUCCCAUAUAAUACAGUUCGUGUUGAAAAGAAAUAUGCAAAUGUACUAUAGGAGCAAAGUGAAGAAAGCCAAUUAAUUGUGAUUUAUCAGAUUUAUCAGACUGUACUUUGAAUCAGAUGGGAAAGAAGAAGAUAUUAGGUCCUAGUCAUAAAGCACCUGUAGUAAUUUCCUAAGGAGAGAAGUCAAGAAAGGGAACUCCAGGCAAAGAGACCAGUCUGUAUACAGAGGGCUGGAGGCAUGAGAAGACGCCAGAGCAUGAGAGCCAGUGGAAGCCAACUGGAAGGAGAGGAAGAGGGCAGACGUGGCUGGAGAGGCAAGAGAGGUCACCGAGGUGGCCUGGGGAGCCAGGGCUCACAAGCUUCAAAAUGCAAACAAAUCAUCUGGACAACCUGGACAAAGUGAGAUUUCCCAUCCAGUUGGUGGGGCUUCCACUCUGCAUUUCUAACAAGAUCCCAGGCGGCGGUGAUACUGCGGCUGGAGGAGGGCCAAGCGUGAACAGCAAGACUCCAUGCAACACUGAGGUUUGAGCCCUCCCCCCUCUGCUGGUGAAUCCAGUGCUGUCGAUCUUGCGCAGGGAAGUGACACAGUCAAACUCUGGCAUUUCAAAGACAAAGCUGUAGCUAGAAGGGGUAUGGGACACAUGUAGGAAGAGAAGCUUGUUCAAGAGAGGAAUCCUGAGAGCCCACGGUAAGAUGUGAUAAUGAUGACACACAUUGUAAAAACAUUCAACAGGAGUUUGCCAACUGGCACUGACAGGAGCGUAAAACUACUGCAAAUUGUUACUUCAGCGGUACCUGCCUGCCAAGGUCUGAUCAGCGGUGCCUCUCGUGCACCUUCCACUCUUUCCUAACUGACAUCGGAGCCCACGGUGCUGCUGGGUAAUGCCUCUCACCCUGCGGCACGGAGUGGAAUCACCUGACUUCCCCCCACUUUAAGACAAACAUGCACGAAUGCCAUCAUUAUGAAAAUGAAUGUCUAGUCUGCAGAUCGGAGGGGUUGUGGGGAACCGUAGGGGCAAGCACUCGUACUCUUCUCUGUGACUUCGUUUGCACUGAUUCAUCCAUCUCUCCGUCUCAGCAGUUACCAGCUGCAUCCCCUUUCCCUAACCUGAGAAUGCAGAGAAGCUGUCCCUAGUGAAGACAUUCUAAUGGGGCUCUGCGGGUCACCUGACAAAAGCUGGCCGAAGUGAUAGAUGCUGUAUUCUUCCUUCUGUGGAGCUGGAUGCUCUCCACCAUUGCUGGGUCAAAUUAGGACUCCUGAGAAUAGUAUCUGGAUCCCCUACACAGUUCUGAAAUGCCAUGAUCUUCUGAAUGGAUAAGAUCAGCAAGUAUUUCAAAUUUAUGUAGUCAACCUCGGAGAACUAGACUGAACACAUAAAACUUUUCAGAUGACAGAAAACAUGAAUAAGCAGGUAGAAAAUGGGUUUCUUGGCUGACAUAUGGCAAAUGAAGUUUAAACACGUAAGGACAGGACAGUAAUUCAUACUGAUUGUAAAACUAAAAGGAAACAUAAAUAUAUUCUUCCAGUAUUUCAAAUUUUGUCAUCACAAGUCAUGGGUGCCUUCUUAUUCCCCAUAACCCAUCCUCUGCCCAACAAGCACAUCCCUUCUGAAGACUAGAUAUUAGUCACUCUAGCACUAUUUUGUUUCUUGCAUAGUGGUGACCUUUCAGUUUUUUUUAAUCCAUAAUAUAACCAGGAUUAAGUCUUCCCCAUUAGUUGGUAGGGUCUUCUAUUCUCUCAAAAGCUGUUAUGACCAAACUUCUCACAGAAGAGGCAUUAAUUAAUUAGGAAAGCAUACCAUGAAAGAGCCAUUCCUGUUUAUUGUCCCAAACAUCACCUUAUGAAAUUAUUUACUACAGAAAUAUAUUUUUGAAGUUUUCUCAUUUGGAAGGGAACAUGUUUAGAAACUAGUGUGUCUCUAGGGUUUAAGAAAUUACCUUCUUUGUCUUAGUUCUAACUGAGUAUUAUCUUAAAGUAGAAGUCAGGUCUUAAAAUACAUGCAGCAGAGAGGAGAUAAAUAAGUAAAACAGAUAAAACUGUUAUUCAGGUAUUAUAUAAAGAAAGUCCACUUACGCAGUAGGAAGAAAAAUCAUUCACCACAACUUCAACUCAAAGGGUAUAACUUGUAAUUUUAAAAAAAAUAAAUGUUAUAGAAUUAUAAAUGUUCUUGUAUUAUAACCAAUAUUAUAUUAUAUUGAAUGUUUCAUUUAGACAUCGUUCUAAAGGAUUAAUUUUUAAAUUCACCAAGAAUAUCCUUAUACUUGCAGUAUGCCAUUAGUUAAGUUCAGACAAAAAUAAAAUGUUUUAGAGAAAGUUUAAUAAAAUUUUUG